UGUGUGUGUGUGUGUGUGUGUGUGUGUCCUUGGGCGCACUGGGACCCCCUGCUGUAGUCAUGGUGUAUUCAUGGGCUUGUGUUGUUCCUGUGCAGCAUGACCUCAUCCAUCCUGUGUCCAGUGUAAAUGGAACUGUUCAUAAACCGCUGGACCGUAACCCAACUCUUUAAUAAGCAUCUGUGUCCAGUGGACAAUGUCCCAAUCAUAAACCAUUGGACUGAAACUACUGUUUUUAACACGUAUCUGGGUCCAGUGGAAACGUUCCCACUCUGGACUGGAUCGCCAGAGUUUUUAACAGCAUCACACAGCCAUUUUCACACAGCACUCGGUGCCUUAAGCGACUCCAACUCCAGGAUGGAUCAUCACUAUCUCUCCACCUGACAGACUGAGGGCUGGGAAACUCCUCAUGCGCUGUCUGGCCAGUGACCACGUCUCGCUGGCGGUUUCUGGCCAGUGACCACGUCUCGCUCAUGCGCUGUCUGGCCAGUGACCACGUCUCGCUGGCGCUGUCUGGCCAUGUGUGUGUGUGUGUGGGUCGGAGUGAGUGAGUCACUGGGGAUGAACACGGAUGCCUCUGGAUCAGGGCCGGUGCGGAACCAGUACUGAUCUGGCACUGAUUUGAUACAGAACCAGUACUGAUCUGGCACUGAUUUGAUACAGAACCAGUACUGAUCAGGCACUGACCUGGUUGGGUGUGGGUCCGUCCCUGAUUUGCCACAGAUCCAGAGAUCCACAGAUUGGUACGGACCCAGCCCUGUUCUGGCCCGAGUCUGCUGUCAUCUGGGCCUCGUCUGUGCUGUGGAGAUCACCAGCAGUGGGCUCUGUGUGUCCAAAACCUCAGCUGACUGUGGGCCGGAUCAGGACCAGAACCAGGACCCGGGUGGGUCGUCUCCAGUCAGCUGCUCUCUCCAACCCAACGAAGCUUCCAGUUCUCCCAUCCAUCUCCCCUGUACAGAACCCCCUACUAUGGGAAAGCUGACUUUUAAAGACAUGUGAAUAGUUUGUUGACAAUAAGUGUUACAUGCACGACAUGGACGCAACACUGAACCAUAGUUUUGAAGAGGGACAGUGAGGAAACUGUUGUGUACAACACGAGGACAUAUUGUACUUAUUUAACAGUUUUGAAUACUUG
Long non-coding RNA from Clupea harengus (Atlantic herring), 1132 nucleotides. The record is from Ensembl. NCBI's taxonomy places the organism in Eukaryota, Metazoa, Chordata, Actinopteri, Clupeiformes, Clupeidae.